GCUGGGUGUCGUAGUGGGCACCUGUAGUCCCAACCACUCAGGAAGCUGAGGCAAGAGAAUAGCCUAAGCCCAGGAGUUGGAGGUUGCUGUGAGCUGUGUGAUGUCACAGCAGUCUACUGAGGGCGAUAAAGUGAGACUCUGUCUCUACAAAAAAAAAAAAAUCUUUUUGGAUAGAGUUGAAAUAGCCUUUUUUUUUAUAGAAACAAAGUCUCACUUUGUCACCCUUGGUAGUGCCUUGGCCUCAUAGCUCACAGCAACCUCCAGCUCUUGGGCUUAGGCAACUCUCUUGC
RNAcentral lists this small RNA (290 nucleotides) under Otolemur garnettii (small-eared galago). RNAcentral's name for it is "Metazoan signal recognition particle RNA (ENSOGAG00000027690.1)". The record is from RNAcentral. Lineage: Eukaryota; Metazoa; Chordata; Mammalia; Primates; Galagidae.